UAGUAUCAGCGUGCCAGCCGCCGCGGUAAUACGAAGGGGGCUAGCGUUGUUCGGAAUUACUGGGCGUAAAGGGCGCGUAGGCGGCCGUUUAAGUUAGGUGUGAAAGUCCUGGGCUCAACCUGGGGACUGCACUUAAUACUGGAUGGCUUGAAUUCGGGAGAGGAUAGCGGAAUUCCCAGUGUAGAGGUGAAAUUCGUAGAUAUUGGGAAGAACACCGGUGGCGAAGGCGGCUAUCUGGACCGACAUUGACGCUGAGGCGCGAAAGCGUGGGGAGCAAACAGGAUUAGAUACCCUGGUAGUCCACGCCGUAAACGAUGAGUGCUAGACGUUGGGAAGCUUAGCUUUUCAGUGUCGCAGCUAACGCAUUAAGCACUCCGCCUGGGGAGUACGGUCGCAAGAUU
This 401-nucleotide ribosomal RNA is filed under the name uncultured bacterium. RNAcentral's name for it is "bacterial SSU rRNA". It matches the Rfam family "Bacterial small subunit ribosomal RNA", at positions 495 to 895 of the family's 1533-position model. The record is from RNAcentral.